AGUGAACGCUGGCGGUAGGCCUAACACAUGCAAGUCGAACGGCAGCACAGUAAGAGCUCGCUCUUACGGGUGGCGAGUGGCGGACGGGUGAGGAAUGCAUCGGCAUCUACUUUUUCGGGGGGGACAACGUAGGGAAACUUAUGCUAAUACCGCAUAUGUUGAACGGGAGAAAGCAGGGGAGCUUGGCACUUUUCGCGACACAAUGAGACGCAGUCGGAUUAGCUAGUCGGGAGGGUAAAGGCUCACCAAGGCAACGAUCCGUAGCUGAUCUGAGAGGAUGAUCGGCCACACUGGAACUGAGACACGGUCCAGACUCCUACGGGAGGCAGCAGUGGGGAAUAUUGGGCAAUGGGCGCAAGCCUGAUGCAGCCAUACCGCGUGAGUGAAGAAGGCCUUCGGGUCGUAAAGCCCUUUUGUUGGGAAAGAACAGAAGCAGAUUAAUACACCGCUGUUUUGACGGUACCCAAAGAAUAAGCAACGGCUAACUUCGUG
Molecule: ribosomal RNA, 492 nt
Filed under: uncultured bacterium
Lineage: Bacteria
Description: partial 16S ribosomal RNA
Rfam family: Bacterial small subunit ribosomal RNA
Source: RNAcentral